GAUGAAGAACGUAGCGAAAUGCGAUAAGUAAUGUGAAUUGCAGAAUUCAGUGAAUCAUCGAAUCUUUGAACGCACCUUGCGCCCUUUGGCUAUUCCGAAGGGCAUGCCUGUUUGAGUAUCAUGAACACCUCAACUCUCAUGGUUUGCCAUGAUGAGCUUGGACUCUGGGGGUCUUGCUGGCCUAUGGUCAGCUCCUCUCAAAUAAAUCAGCUUGCCAGUGUUUGGUGGCAUCACAGGUGUGAUAACUAUCUACGCUUGUGGUUUUCCAUCAGGUAACCUUCAGUGAUGGAGGUUCGCUGGAGCUCAUAAAUGUCCCUCCUCAGCGAGGAAAGCUUUUUGAACGUUUGAUCUCAAAUCAGGUAGGACUACCCGCUGAACUUAAGCAUAUCAAUAAGCGGAGGA
This 402-nucleotide unclassified non-coding RNA is filed under the name soil metagenome. Its description in RNAcentral is "partial contains 5.8S ribosomal RNA, internal transcribed spacer 2, and large subunit ribosomal RNA". The stretch from base 1 to 121 matches the Rfam family "5.8S ribosomal RNA", at positions 35 to 154 of the family's 154-position model. The record is from RNAcentral.